Molecule: ribosomal RNA, 495 nt
Filed under: uncultured bacterium
Lineage: Bacteria
Description: partial 16S ribosomal RNA
Rfam family: Bacterial small subunit ribosomal RNA
Source: RNAcentral
AUGAACGCUGGCGGCGUGCCUAAUACAUGCAAGUCGAGCGAACAGACGAGGAGCUUGCUCCUCUGACGUUAGCGGCGGACGGGUGAGUAACACGUGGAUAACCUACCUAUAAGACUGGGAUAACUUCGGGAAACCGGAGCUAAUACCGGAUAAUAUAUUGAACCGCAUGGUUCAAUAGUGAAAGACGGUUUUGCUGUCACUUAUAGAUGGAUCCGCGCCGCAUUAGCUAGUUGGUAAGGUAACGGCUUACCAAGGCAACGAUGCGUAGCCGACCUGAGAGGGUGAUCGGCCACACUGGAACUGAGACACGGUCCAGACUCCUACGGGAGGCAGCAGUAGGGAAUCUUCCGCAUUGGGCGAAAGCCUGACGGAGCAACGCCGCGUGAGUGAUGAAGGUCUUCGGAUCGUAAAACUCUGUUAUUAGGGAAGAACAAAUGUGUAAGUAACUAUGCACGUCUUGACGGUACCUAAUCAGAAAGCCACGGCUAACUACGU